Molecule: ribosomal RNA, 506 nt
Filed under: uncultured bacterium
Lineage: Bacteria
Description: partial 16S ribosomal RNA
Rfam family: Bacterial small subunit ribosomal RNA
Source: RNAcentral
AGUGAACGCUGGCGGUAGGCCUAACACAUGCAAGUCGAACGGCAGCACAGGAGAGCUUGCUCUCUGGGUGGCGAGUGGCGGACGGGUGAGGAAUACAUCGGAAUCUACUUUUUCGUGGGGGAUAACGUAGGGAAACUUACGCUAAUACCGCAUACGACCUACGGGUGAAAGCAGGGGAUCUUCGGACCUUGCGCGAUUGAAUGAGCCGAUGUCGGAUUAGCUAGUUGGCGGGGUAAAAGCCCACCAAGGCGACGAUCCGUAGCUGGUCUGAGAGGAUGAUCAGCCACACUGGAAGUGAGACACGGUCCAGACUCCUACGGGAGGCAGCAGUGGGGAAUAUUGGACAAUGGGCGCAAGCCUGAUCCAGCCAUACCGCGUGGGUGAAGAAGGCCUUCAGGUUGUAAAGCCCUUUUGUUGGGAAAGAAAUCCAGCUGGUUAAUACCCGGUUGGGAUGACGGUACCCAAAGAAUAAGCACCGGCUAACUUCGUGCCAGCAGCCGCGGUAA